AAAGAAACCAACAGGGAUUGCCCUAGUAACGGCGAGUGAAGCGGCAACAGCUCAAAUUUGAAAUCUGGCCCUCGGGUCCGAGUUGUAAUUUGUAGAGGAUGCUUUUGGUGAGGUGCCUUCCGAGUUCCCUGGAACGGGACGCCAUAGAGGGUGAGAGCCCCGUCUGGUUGGACACCGAACCUCUGUAAAGCUCCUUCGACGAGUCGAGUAGUUUGGGAAUGCUGCUCUAAAUGGGAGGUAUAUGUCUUCUAAAGCUAAAUACCGGCCAGAGACCGAUAGCGCACAAGUAGAGUGAUCGAAAGAUGAAAAGCACUUUGAAAAGAGAGUUAAAAAGUACGUGAAAUUGUUGAAAGGGAAGCGCUUAUGACCAGACUUGGGCUUGGUUGAUCAUCCUGGGUUCUCCCUGGUGCACUCUUCCAGUUCAGGCCAGCAUCAGUUCGCUGCGGGGGAUAAAAGCUUUAGGAAUGUGGCUCCUUCGGGAGUGUUAUAGCCUAUUGCAUAAUACCCUGCUCCGGACUGAGGUUCGCGCAUCUGCAAGGAUGCUGGCGUAAUGGUCAUCAGCGACCCGUCUUGAAACACGGACCAAGGAGUCGUCUUCGUAUGCGAGUGUUCGGGUGUUAAACCCCUACGCGUAAUGAAAGUGAACGCAGGUGAGAGCUUCGGCGCAUCAUCGACCGAUCCUGAUGUUCUCGGAUGGAUUUGAGUAAGAGCAUACGGGGCCGGACCCGAAAGAAGGUGAACUAUGCCUGUAUAGGGUGAAGCCAGAGGAAACUCUGGUGGAGGCUCGCAGCGGUUCUGACGUGCAAAUCGAUCGUCAAAUAUGGGCAUGGGGGCGAAAGACUAAUCGAACCUUCUAGUAGCUGGUU
Molecule: ribosomal RNA, 866 nt
Filed under: Calonectria reteaudii
Lineage: Eukaryota; Fungi; Ascomycota; Sordariomycetes; Hypocreales; Nectriaceae
Also listed under: 5 other names
Description: partial large subunit ribosomal RNA
Rfam family: Eukaryotic large subunit ribosomal RNA
Source: RNAcentral